This 552-nucleotide ribosomal RNA is filed under the name uncultured bacterium. RNAcentral describes it as "bacterial SSU rRNA". It matches the Rfam family "Bacterial small subunit ribosomal RNA", at positions 355 to 896 of the family's 1533-position model. The record is from RNAcentral.
UGGGGGGUAUUGCACAAUGGGCGGAAGCCUGAUGCAGCGACGUCGCGUGAGGGAUGGAGGCCUUCGGGUUGUGAACCUCUGUUUCCGGUGGUGAAGGCCCCGCCCUUGGUGGUGGGGUUGACGGUAGCCGGGUAUGAAGCGCCGGCUAACUACGUGCCAGCAGCCGCGGUAAUACGUAGGGCGCGAGCGUUGUCCGGAAUUAUUGGGCGUAAAGGGCUUGUAGGCGGCCGGCCGCGUCCGUCGUGAAAUCCUCCGGCUCAACCGGGGGCUUGCGGUGGGUACGGGUCGGCUGGAGUGCGGCAGGGGAGGCUGGAACUCCUGGUGUAGCGGUGGAAUGCGCAGAUAUCAGGAGGAACACCGGUGGCGAAGGCAGGUCUCUGGGCCGUUACUGACGCUGAGGAGCGAAAGCGUGGGGAGCGAACAGGAUUAGAUACCCUGGUAGUCCACGCCGUAAACGUUGGGCACUAGGUGUGGGGCGUUCCCGUUCGCGGGGGCUCCGCGCCGUAGCUAACGCAUUAAGUGCCCCGCCUGGGGAGUACGGCCGCAAGGCUA